Long non-coding RNA from Clupea harengus (Atlantic herring), 1566 nucleotides. The record is from Ensembl. Lineage: Eukaryota; Metazoa; Chordata; Actinopteri; Clupeiformes; Clupeidae.
UUCCAGCUCCACACCAAUGGAGAGACCACUUUGGGUUCCAUGAAAUUGAAUGUAGACAGUCUAAAACGGGCCAGUCACGCUUCACGCUGUCAGACCUGCCAACCUGCACGCAUUUUGUGUACCAACCACGCAAUUCUUAGUCAAAAUACGCAGGUACAAAAUGCCAGCUGAAACUACGCAAAAAAAUCAAUCGAUACAAACCUAUACCGUACAUUUAUUUAAACUACAUCCCUCAGAUUGGAGAAGAUGGUACGACCUUGUGCCUGUGGUUCUGUGACCCUCCCCGACCCGAAAUAGUACUCUCACUCAACAUCCACUGAUACUAGUACACUGCUACUUUAUUAUCCACCGAGGCGUAAUGCAUUGCUGAGGUACAAUGGGGAGUGGGGGAGUAAUAAUCAAGCACAUAAAUGUGACCGUAAUGUUAGCAUAUAAAACUUUAAAACAUGUGUUCGGUAACUUAACGAGAUGAUGCAUUUCAAGGGGUAUAUCCUUCAGAUAGAUUUGUAUAAAAAGUUAGCCGUAGUAGCUAGCAUACGAUGUGAUUCACCUGGUAACGAGAUGGCUACGGUGUGAAUAACUGAUGGAGUAGGCUAAUUUAGCUGCAGUAACGUUAACUCAAACGCCACGGAGACUGUUCUAACUUUGAAUCGCUCUGUUGGGGAAAAGUGACCAUUGCAAAGGUGUUUGACUACAGACUGCUAACGUAGCAAAUAAUUCCUACUAUUUCAGCCAGUCAACCGACCAGCCUUGCAGGUAUAAAAUAAUCAUGACGUCAGAUGACGAUUUUCAGUCUCGUUACCAAAAACAAGACCCAAUACAGAGCAACCCUGAGCACUGACAUGAUAAGCGCUUUGGGGACUGUCUGUCACAUGGAAGGCUUCAGUGAUGCUCUGCUCAAAAAGGCCAAGUCGCCAAGCUAUGAGGCAAAGCAGUCAAGAGCAAGUGCCACUGGAAGUAGAUAGAUGGAUACUUUAAUAGGAGCUUAUAUAUAUAUAUAAUAUAUUAUUUAGAAAUGCAAAAUGAUCCAAAAUGUAAAUACCUCUUUUCAUUUAUGCAAUUCUUAAAAUAUGAUUGUAAUGUUUUCUUCGCCGCUGAUUUAUUAUGUUGAAUAACUGGAUGAUAUGGCGGUGAGUGGGGAAUUGACCGUAUGCAAAGCCCCUGCCAAACUGAAACUCCCCUGGUACUCAAACACUUUCUUCAAGGUUGGCAGGUCUGCACUUUGUUCUCAAGAGCAUAUGGGGCAGUUAAACACUGAUGCUGAGGUUUCAUACUGGUGGAUUUUGAAUCAUCUUAAUUGACUGACUGUGUCUGUGGGUGUGUCUGUGUCUGUGUGUGUGUCUGUGGGUGUGUGUCUGGAUGUGUGUCUGGAUGUGUGUCUGGAUGUGUGUCUGUGGGUGUGUGUCUGGGUGUAUGUGUGUGUAUGUUGCAGUUUCCACGGCAGGGUAUGCAGCAGACCCAGCAACAGCAACAGACAGCAGCCCUGGUCAGACAGCUCCAGCAGCAGCUGUCAAAUACACAACCUGGACAGAACACAGCUCCCUAUUACUGAGAGAGAAAAAAAAA